Molecule: long non-coding RNA, 1404 nt
Filed under: Cricetulus griseus (Chinese hamster)
Lineage: Eukaryota; Metazoa; Chordata; Mammalia; Rodentia; Cricetidae
Description: lncRNA (ENSCGRG00015029663.1)
Source: RNAcentral
CUCUGGGUGGGAGAUGUAAAGAAUGCUGAUCAUAGAAGAAGAAAAAAAAACCCAAAAUCCAAGAGGCCAAGUUUUACAGUGUUAAGAAUGCGUCACAGAUUGUGAGGUGCUGGAAUCUGGCUGCUCCACCCUCCUUUUUGGAUGGGGUCCCCCAGUCCAUGGCUGCCUUUCCAGUUCAGUAACAACAAUCUCACCCUAUGCAUGAGGCCCCCUCCCCUGCCUGUCACCUGGACACUUCUCACAUAGGGUCACUGUGGCAUCUGAAACAAGGCGUUACAGCCAUGCAACAGUUAUCAUUGGAGAACUGAGAACAGUAAACGAUGUUUCAUCCACUAACAAUUCCUUUUAUUAAGAAGGUUUAGGACACUGUCCAUAGCUUACAUCAUGCUUCCACUGGACAGCAAGGCAAUGUGGCUACUGCACGUCUGCCACAGUUUCCUCAUUUGUAGAAUGAAAGUAAGGAAACAAAUCUCUUCCUUCAAUGGUUAUGGUCUGUCCACAAAGUUCAGCCCCUCCCACAACAGCCCCUCUCUCACUUUUAGCCUGGGCAGGUGGCAUCCUGAGACAGAAGCCCUGUCUUGAGCCCUCAAGCCAGUCACCUGGAAGCUCCGAGGAGUAUCCUGGAAUCAGAGUGCACCAGUGGAGUUGAGAUUUCUCAAGCCUGGACCCCUGGAAAACAGUCAGGCCCUCAAUAGGGGCCACAGGAUGAAGGCAACACUGAAUUCUGCCACCUGCUGAGCUAGGUGACCUUGGAUAGAGGCUUUGACCCCAAGUCUCAGUUUCCUUACCUAUAAAUAAAGUGAGGGUUGGUCCUCUCUCCUGGAUAGCCAGUGUGUGGUUUGGAUGGUUCUGAUGACUUGGUCACUACUUCCUACUUUGUUGUGAAUAGGAAGCCAUGACCAAAGUGUGUGGGAAGUGUUAGGUUACAGACUGGCUCUCAGAAAUCAGGACGCCCCUCCUUCAUUCUCUCUCCCCAGGGAAGAGAUUUGAUAAGCAAAGCUUCUAUGGCCUUGUAGGCAGCUUCCUGUAACCCAGAGAUCUUCCCCCAUGUCCAUCCCCAAAAUAACUUUGAAUUUAAAAUUAUCUAGUGCUUCCUGCCUGGAGAUGCACAUGGUAUGAAACUUCCCCUCCUGACCCCCAGAAAAUCUAUAUGAAUAAGAUACCCCUUUGUUCUCUAGAAUCAAAGGCCCUGUCCCUUCAGGGCUUUCAUCAUGCUAUCUGUGAUGGUCAUCUGUCUUCAUGAAGGACUUCUUCAGACUUGAAACCUUGCUCUCCCACAUCAGGGCCUCAUUGUAUUGCCAAUGAUAUAACUCACCUGAGCAAGGCCCUGAAGGGUGAUUCAUCUCAGCUCCUAUCCAGUGAACCAGUGAGCUGAGCUAUAACAGGAAGCUGAAUAGGUUUGAC